Molecule: ribosomal RNA, 460 nt
Filed under: uncultured bacterium
Lineage: Bacteria
Description: partial 16S ribosomal RNA
Rfam family: Bacterial small subunit ribosomal RNA
Source: RNAcentral
ACUACGGGUGGCAGCAGUGAGGAAUAUUGGUCAAUGGACGCAAGUCUGAACCAGCCAUGCCGCGUGCAGGAAGACGGCUCUAUGAGUUGUAAACUGCUUUUGUACGAGAGUAAACGCAGCUACGCUUAUCUAUCUGACAGUAUCGUACGAAUAAGCAUCGGCUAACUCCGUGCCAGCAGCCGCGGUAAUACGGAGGAUUCCAGCGUUAUCCGGAUUUAUUGGGUUUAAAGGGGGCGGAGGCGGUCUGAUAAGGUAGAGGUUAAAUCCAGAGGAGCAACUUCGGAAUUGCCGCUGAUACUGUUCGUCUAGAGAGGAGUGGCGGUAGGCGGAAUGUAUGGUGUAGCGGUGAAAUGCUUAGAGAUCACACAGAACACCGAUUGCGAAGGCAGCUUACCAGGCUACUUCUGACGCUGAGGCACGAAAGCGUGGGGAGCGAACAGGAUUAGAUACCCCUGUAGUC